UAGGUUUGUUGUACAGGGAGCAGAGAGGAUUUUUGUUUGCAUGGGUGCGAAGGAUUAUUUAGGUUACUGGAGACUUGUACGCUGUACAUUCUGAGAAGAUACUCUACAGGUUUGCUGUGCACAGACCGGAAAGGACCUCUAUUCACAGGGGUACGAAGAGCUAGCUAGAUUUCCAAGAUUUUAUGUACGGUACAGUUUGAGAGGAUACACUCAAGAUUUGCUGUACAGGGUGUGGAGAGGAUUUAUUCGCAUGGAUAUGGAGAGCUGCUUAGGUUUUAUCAGUCUUGUAUGCAGUACAUUUCGAGUAGAUGUUCUAGUGGUAAGGCCCUAGCCGAUUAAGAUGGUCAAAACUGCCCUUAGAGCUUUUUCAAUGGCUCUUGAAUCAUUCGAAAGCUGACCAAGAAAAACCCCUCUGAGUAAAAUUUUAACCCUCUAGCUUGCUCGUGAGGGUAGUUACAGGGUAAAAUAGAUUUUACGCUUUUCGGCGCAUUUUCCGGUCUCAAAUGCAUUCUAAAAUUCUGAAAAAAUCUGACACAUUUCGGAUCCUAAGGCGCAUUUUUGAGAAUACUUUCAAAAUUUUUUGUUGAAAACUGUGGCUGUAAAAAAUGAAAAAGCUCAAAAAAAUCGGAAAAACAUUUUUUCCUCAAAAAUAUGAAAACAUGCUAUUCUACUGUUUGGUUCCCUGAUAAUGUACAAUAGCAGGCAGUGUCGUCAAUUUUUUUAAAAUUUUUUGUUCGGCUGCUUCAUUGUCAAAAACAAUAAAUCUGAAUUUUUUCGAC
Molecule: long non-coding RNA, 779 nt
Organism: Hylaeus anthracinus
Lineage: Eukaryota; Metazoa; Arthropoda; Insecta; Hymenoptera; Colletidae
Exons: 3
Source: RefSeq, a predicted model, not a curated record